AUUAUGAAAGACCGUUAAUUGAAAAUUUUUAAUUAAUAAAAUCAUAACAAAUAACAGAAAUAACAUUACAAAAUUACAUACUUGCAGUUGUUUACAGACAAAUGUAAAUAUGUGUAAGUGUACAUACAUAGAAAUAAACUGAUAUUGUGUAAUAAACAUAUUAAGCAAAAAAAAAACUUAAUUAUUUCUACAAUAAAAACAAAGAAAAAACGUUUAGCAUAUGAAGUAACGGGUAAAUGCAAUUAAUUAAAAAUAAUCAUUAUAGUUUAUUGUGCGUGUGUGUGUAUUUUAGGCAUAUCUGCAUACGUGAAAUAAUUAUUAAAGUACAUAAAUAUACAUAAUUAAUGAAAAACAUGAGUUGAAAUGCAUUGAAAAAUAUUUCGCAUUUUACACUCCAACAAGCGAAAGGUCACAAAAAAAAAAAUAAAAUAUAAAAGUAUAAUAUUCAGAGAAAUAUAUGUUUAAUAUAUUCUAAGUCUUUGAACUGUUGAACUAUUAAUUUAAAAAAAAUAAAAUAAAAAAUAAAAAAAUUAAUAAUAAUAAUAAUAACUUAAAAUAAACGAUUUAGCUGAGAGGCGUGCCAUAAGUGACGCUAUGCAGGGUACAGUGCAACGGAGUGUGUCUAAUUUUUAAACUUUUUAUUGUACAUUUUAAGCCUAGACUAACGUAAUUUUACUCGAAAUAAACGACCGUCCUCUUUACAUUACAAAAUACAAGUAAAAUAAAAAAAAAAUAAAUCCAUAGAGAAAAUAUAUAUCAUAAGGCAAUUUAGAACUCUACAGUUAAUAUAGUAAAGCAAAGGAAAAACUAAGUUUUUCAACCAACUUUUAAAACGGCUGCGUAUGUAUGUGUACUUUUAAAAUAAAUAAAUCUAAGACUAAAUAAAAAAAUAUUUGAUAACAAAAUUCAAAAAAUUAUCUCUAAAGCGUGCAAAAACAUUAGACUGAAAUGUAUAAAUGUGACUCACACUUGAAUAAUAAACAAACAAACAAAAAAAAAAAAACACGCCAAGUCGGGGCAUAUUGGAGUACUUACCAAGUCAUAAAAUACAUUCAACUAUUAAUAAAAUUAUUAAACACAGCAGAAAGUGACAAAUAAACGAGAAUUUAAUUGCCACCAAGUGUUAAAAUGCAGAGUAGCAACAAAGAGCAGAAUGACUUACGAAAUGAAAACAAAAGCAAAUUAUUAUAAACAAUUAUGUGAAUUGUAUAAUAACAAAGUGAGGCAACAAAAAACGAAAACAAAAACAAAUGCAAAAGCUGGAAAAACAACUGAAAUGAUAUACAAUUUGGGAAUAAUAUGAAAAGCAAGCAGAAAAGCAUAAACCCACACACAUACACACACACAAAUGCAAACACACACAUACAUCCGCACUAAGAUUUUUAUGCAAAUCCCAAGAACGCACUCAAUUAAAUGCCUGAGAAAAUACGCUGAACGUACCUAAUUAAAAUACACAACCGUAUAUACUAGAGGCUUAUACAAGUUUUUACCUACGUGUACACAUGUGUGUGUAUAAAUAUGAAAAGUUAGUAUGAAUAUAUAUAUGAAUGCCAAGGAAAGAGAAUAGAGCAGCAGACAAGAGUGAAAAGUAUAAGAAACUGCAACUCAGUUAAACAAACUCUGAGGGAGAAGAAGUGUUAAGCACGCACGCCCACGCACAUACUUACUACAGCAUUCUCCUUUUCAUCACAAUACCGACUUCUCCACCCCCAUCUACACACCCCCGGCGCUAUUUCACGGACACAUUAAGAAAAUAAAUGCCGAGCAUAGCAAAAGAGGAGAUUGUUUGUUGUGAGCUAGCUGUCAGCGGCAGUUGCAGUCGCAGCAGCAGCGUCCACUAAUUAGUACGUCAAAGUGGUAGGACAACAAGCGAAAAAAAAAUAAAAAAAAUUAACAAGAAAAGCUAAAGGAUAGUGAGCAAUUAAAACUCCAGGCGAAAAAGUGUAGAGCAAAUCAAACAUAUAAAAAUAAACAAAUACGUUAAAUCGAGUAUAAUCAGCAGCAUGAAUAAAGGCGUGAAGUAAUAACAUUAAAUAAAUAUCAAAAUAUCAAUUAGUAGAAAAUUGAAUAAACAAAUACGAACACACACGUGCAAUAAUAGGCAAGAGACGGUGGCACAAAAAGUACACACGAACUAAAAUAUACGCGCGCUUUGACGUCAGCAGUGGUAGUGGCAGUGUUAGUGUCAGCAGUAGCGCCGAUCAUCUGGUACAGUUCGAUCGAUGUGGCAAGCAGCCUAGGCAGCAGCGCAGUAAGCAUAACCGCGAGUGCGACUGCAACCGUAAAGGUAGCAGCAACGCCAUCGUCUCACUCGUUCAAUAGCCAAUGCAUCAGAAAUCGAGGAUUUUUGAUUUUGUUCCUUCUCCACCAUCACCACAACCACAACCAAUACCACCAAAACCACCAAUACCAUUACAACCACAAAUACCACCAACAAAAUAAUAACCAUCGCUACCACCAACACCAUUCACAACGAUGGCUACCAUAAAUUCGGUACCGAAGAGUAUACACUUGCCAUUAACGAGCUUGUCGUCGCCUCGUGUUUUAAUGUGUAGUGCCUCAGUCGGCACCGAAGGUUCCGUCACACUACAAUUGAGAGACUCGUCCGAUUCCAAUCAGUCGCCGACGCAAACUUCUUUAGAAAAUGCCUUGACCAUUGGCUAUCCCGAUCCGGAGAUGUUGGCCGACGUAUUCGGUUCACUGCAGACAGCCUCUUUCAAAAAUCACAGCAGUGCGUUAGUCUCAGCGUCACCCACAACAACAACAACAAUAACAGCAAAUCAUAGUAGUAGCAGCAGCAAUUCCAAUAACAAAACCGCAAUAAACAACAGCAACAAUACAAACAGCACGACGUGUAGUAGCAUUAGCAACAACACCUCUGCCCCCUCCCCCGCACCAGCUAGCAAAAUCUCAAUAAGUCGUCGUAAUCAAACUACAUCGACAACAGCCACGUCCACCCCAGCGUCCGCACCGGCCAAUGCGUCGACAACAACAGCGACAGCAACAGCAACGGCAACAGCGACAGCGACAGCUGCACACACGUCGAACAAAGCAGGCGUGCAAACAGUGUCCACAGCAACAAAUACCACCAACAAAACGACCAGCAGUUACGUGAAAAAUUGUCUCAUACGCAGCAGCAGUUGCAGCAACACCAACAACGUCACUUCGCUGGCACAGAUAAUGAGCAAUAGCAGCACCAGCAGCUCCUCAUCGCUUCUGAAUCACAGCAAUACGAAUAGCAACAGCAAUUGUAGCAGUAACAGCAACUUUAGCUCGUCAAGCAGCAGCAACGAUAGCAUCGUCAGUGUUAACAGCAAUACCAGUGGUGGUGGCGGUGGCGGCGGCAGCAGCGGCGGUGGUGUGCUGAAAAGUGCGACUAGCAGUAAGGGUGCCGCAACGGGUGGUGCGUCAAGUGCGACGUUGAAAAAGAAUCGUGCCAAAUUGUCCUCACCAACACGGCAUGGGCCGCAACAGUGUCAGAUUUGUAGUAAAAUCUUUGGAAAUGCGUCAGCGUUGGCAAAACAUAAACUGACGCACAGCGACGAGCGGAAAUACGUGUGUGCGAUGUGUUCAAAGGCAUUUAAGCGACAAGAUCACUUAAAUGGCCACAUGAUGACACAUCGCAAUAAGAAACCUUACGAAUGCAAAGCUGAAGGUUGCGGCAAAUCAUAUUGCGAUGCACGUUCCCUGCGACGCCACACUGAAAACCAUCAUUCGGGUAUUAUAACGCCACAAAAUCAAACACUCUCACCAACCUCGGGUACACCGAAUGGCCUAAGUCUUUCACCGGCCACAGCAAGUGGUGAUGCCAGUUCGCCGGAUGGCGCAACUUGUAUACGUACAUACAUUUCCACUGGUGGUACUGUUGUUGAUGCGGCCACCGGCAUUACACUUACGGAGGAACAAAUAAAAGCAAUAAAUUUGCCGUUGAAAACAGGCGUCACUUUGCUUUCACCCACAUCAACAUCGUCGGCAUCAUCGGCCAGCGGUGUAUCGCUACCCGCCUCAUCACCUACAAUUGCCCUCACCGAGACAAGUCUGGUGGAUGCCGGCGAAGGUCUAACGCGUGAACAAUUAGAUUUGAUAAGUAAAAUUAUGCAACAGACGAAACAGACCAGUGCACAGGUGACAGUGUCGUCGCCCACAAGCGUGAAUUCAUACAAAGUGGACACGAAUCCCUCGUCGGCAGCACUUGGCCUGAUGGGUCAGCAACAUGGAACGAGUGGCACAGCGAGCAGGCCGCGUACAUGGAAUAUGCAAUUGUUAAACACCGCACAGAACGUAUCCAUUUCUGUUGACGAGACUAAUUCCGAUACAGCGUCCAGCACAGCAACAUCGCCCAUCGAAGCCAAGGAGGAGGAGAUAAAUCAGCAAUUUGUGACGGCGAUAAAUCCUCAUCUACUGAAUAUCGUCAAGAUGGAUCAGAAGCAAGUUGAAUGUAAUUUGUGUCAUCGUAAGUUCAAGAAUAUACCCGCACUCAAUGGGCAUAUGCGACUCCAUGGUGGUUAUUUCAAGAAAGACCCCGAAACUAAAAAGAACGAAAAGAAAGAGCCCAGCGGACCGCCGCUACAGACAGCCAGUAUUGGCGUACGCGCAUUAAUCGAGGAGAAAAUCAUUAGCAAACGCAAAGAUAUGAACAAGGGUGCCUUCGUAGUUCCUGCACCACCCAGUAGUGUAUCCAGCACAUCCACAAUCCGCCGAUCGAUUAGCGAUCUAGAAAGUUUCCUUAGUCCCAAAUCACACAACAAUAACAACAACAACAACAACAACAAUAACAACAACAACAACAACAACAAUAGUAGUAGCAAUGGCAGUAACAGCAACUCUACAAAUCAGAGUUCGUCCACCGCCUCAACAACAACAGCCAUGCUACCAUCUGCUGCAACAAUCAAAAACUAUAAUGGUGGGACAUUGGGCUUGCAGCAAAUCGGAAUGUCUCACGGUAUCGAGAUAUUCAGUACGAAACAACAAGACAAGAAUACUGGUAGUGCGGGCCACGGUAUGGGUCUGGGCUUGAGUGCAGCUCUGCAAGCCAACAAUGCAACGAUGAAUACGUCAACGAUGAAAUCAACAGCAACGACAACAAUUACAACGACUACUAAGGGCACCUCUACCGAUCCAAAAGACUCUACGCUCAUUGAAUUAUUGAAGCGUGGAACGCGCAUAGCCGUCACUGCCAAGAAGCCAAUAAAUAGUACAAACACAAUCACAAAUAUGGGAGGUAGCAGCAGUAAUAAUGGCAAUGGCAAUGGCAAUGGCAACGGCAAUGGCAACGGCGGAUCCCGUCAGAUAAUCACAAACAACAAUCGCACUGUGAUUAUACCGUCCGACGUACAGAUCUUACCCACCCGCAAGUCGAGCGCAUCGAAUUCGUCGCGAUCCGCUGCGCCCGCCAGUCUAGCUGACACUAUGCCACUUUCGCUUACUAUAGCGCAGAAUGGCACUGGAGGCAGAGGUAUAGGUGGCGACGUAUAUACCGUUACUUAUAGCAGUGACGGGACGGGGUUCUUUGAGGACGCCGACGUGUAUAAUGUCGCCGAUACGGAUAUGCUGUUGCAGACGGUGGAUUCGAUGCAAUUACUCAAUGAUGACUCGCAACAAUUGAAAAGUGAACAUUCCGAACAGUUUGGCACUGUGACUGGUAUAGGGAUUCAGGCCGAGGGCGAUCAAAAUGACAAUAAUGGUAAUUGCAUACAAGCGGAAUACUUGAAAUUACAAGCCGAAGGUAGUAUGAAUGCCAUGCCCACCACCACUUUACCCACUUUCCAACAAUUUCAUUCCAAAGAGUUAAUCAUGCAAAACAGUGCCCAGAUUCAGGCUGUGACUAGCAUGCGAAACCAAACGCAUCAACUGGGUACAAUAUCCUCACCGAUAAAUUCCCCGCUCGCCUAUCCUACGCCACCUUCCAGCCAUGAAAACAUGACACAGUCCUCGCCAUAUGUAGACGAUGGACAACAGUAUGUAGAAGUGACGAACAAUUUUUUCAAUGAUAAAUGCUCCGCGGAUUUCCUAACGCAGUCAGCCACUGAGGUGACAUUCUUCAAGAACAACGACACCCAGAACGAACUCACAGAUACCGAAAAGAUAUUGAAGUUGAAGACCGUUUUGGAGGAGAGCGCAUUUGAUGGUUCCAUUAAGGUUGAAGACUUACUGAACGGUACACAAGAUGACGACACCGAAUGUGAUUUGCGCGACUUUGCUGAGUCCAAUCUCGCCUUUUUGGACGAGGACCAGGAGUUUAUGAAUGACUCGCGUAAUGCAACAUCGCCUUUGCCUGAAUCAUUUUUCACCGGCAGUAUCGGCACCGAUGACGAAGUGAAAGAGGUACUGCGUGAUGUAUUGCCCGACGAGAAUAUCAAUCUGCCGUGCGAAGAACAGUCGGCUGAAAAUAUGAUAGAUUUGUAUUACUUGCCCGGUUUGGGUCUGCAAUCACAAAUGAUGCCGAACUCGGAUGAUCCGCUGCUGUCCUCCUCGCCGCGUGAUUUCGGACAACAGAGAGCUCAAGUCAUACAGACCACACAGCAAGUACAAGCCCACCAACAACAACAGCAGCAGCAACAGCAGCAAACAGGAACACACACGCAGCAGCACAUACAGGAGACGGCGCAGCAGUUACUAUUCGCCCAGCAAAUCGAGCAACAAAUGCAACAACAUCAGCAACAAAUGCCAACAGGUGGCAAUUGUGUCAAUAGCAAUCAGUUGGCAAUCGCAAUUCAGCAAGCUGCUGAAACCAAUGCCACCCUGCAGUAUAACCUACAAAACCUAGCACAAGUACAAAACCAACAACAAUAUAUUGACAUCAAUACACCGAUCCAGCAUAUAGCCACAAUGGAUAGCGGCAUGCUGCAGCAACAGUUGGUAUUCACAGGCUCGACAGACAAACAGGAGAUCCACAUAAAUGGACAGCAAGUCGAUGUGGGUCUGCUCUCUGCUGGCGGCAGCAUUCAAACAGACACAAACAUUUACUUCGCCAGCAACUCCAGUAAUUCCACCAGCUCCUUGACCACAUUGCAACAGAAUGGCCAUCAAAUAAGUGCUUGCAAUAUUACAAAUGCUUCGAGCAGAUGCCUACCACCUGUCGCAUCCACGGUCAUUUCAACCCUGCAACCGCUCUCCAAUCAAACUAAUUCCAUAUUGAAACGGCGUUUGCGACCGCAAAAUCCCAAUGAUUGCAGUAAUUCACACAGCUACGCUAAGUAUCAUCCGCUUUCGCCGUACCGCUCAAAGCUGCGAAAGCCGUCACGCACACACUACACUCCUGCGCCAAUACUCAAUCCCGAACGCAAGGGUGUCGGGCUGUACUGCACUGUACGUAAACAACUCAACACAGGACUGCUCGGUUUCGAUAGUUUCAACGAUGACUACGACGAUGCGGUCGGGUUGGUGGACUUUUCGGAUGAAUCUAAAGUCAAUUUGGGUUCAGCUUAUCAAGCGCAAUUGCCACCCUGCCGAGAGCGUAUACAUAGUGCAGGUAGUGACGCCGCAACCGAUGGUGAAUUGUAUAAAAUGAAGUCUUGUUUUGAUGUCGAGGAGCCCGUGGGUGCGGAACAAAUGUGGGAUCCAACUGUACAAACGGACGAGAGAAUUUUAAUGCGCUACAUUGACCUGAGCAAAUCAUCGGCCGUGCCUUUGGGCAGUCACUCGGAAGAGGUGGCAUUGCAAACACUGCUCAAAGCACGUGGCAACAUGGCGGCAGCGGUACUUACGCUAUUGCAAACGCAAUCGAAUGCAUUCCAAAUGAAAUGGUCCGCAGCGGAAUUGGAGGUGUUCCUAAAGGGUUUGGAACGUCAUGGUAAAGACUUUGGACGCAUUUCGCUAGAGUUGGGUACGAAGACAACGGGCGACUGUGUGCAAAUGUAUUACUUUUGGAAGAAGCUUUGUGUUGACUACAAAGUGUCGCAUCUGAAGACCGAAACGCCACAGCCGCCACCGGCGAACGAUCCAAAGCCAUACGUAUGUGAAGUACCGGAUUGCUCUGCGAGCUUUACCUCCAAAGCUGCCCUGCAUGGCCACACACGCAUACAUACGUACGGUCGAAAUGCCAGUAGCCAUCAAAAUAGCAUCAACAACAACAGCAAUAAUAAUAAUAACAAUAAUAGUAAUCAUAACCAUCACAAUUACAACAAUAACGCUUCAGGCAACAACACUAAUACAAAUAGCACCAUAAUAAGCGGCUCAGCAGGCGUCGCUCAACAGACCACCGGCGUUGGUACAUCGCAAACGCAUACGCAAGCGAGCGGCGGUGGUGCCAACGGUGUAUUACUUAAAGACGCUAGUCAAAGCGGCGCGGGCACUGCUGCUAGCAGCACCACCAACAAGGAUAUCGAUUUCCCCUGCAAGGUGUGCGGCAAAGUCAAAACCCACAAGUUGAAUUGCGAGUUGAUACUCCAAUCCACCAACACCACCACCACCACCACAACCACCACCACCACCACCAACAACAACUACACGCUGUUGUAUAACGCCGCGCACGCGCAAGCGCGCCCCUGUUGAAAGUGCUAGCUCGCUCACUGAAGCAGCAGCCGUCACUGCAACCGGCAUGUGUCCUUCAGCGCCACACUCAGCCAAAGCGUAAAAUUAGUUUUUAAUAAAGUUAAAAGUAGAAGCGCCCACAUGAAAACGCAUCGCGUACAGGAGCAACAGCAGCAACAACAACAGCAACAACAACAACAACAACAGCAG
RNAcentral lists this unclassified non-coding RNA (8682 nucleotides) under Ceratitis capitata (Mediterranean fruit fly). RNAcentral's name for it is "homeobox protein 5, transcript variant X6". The record is from RNAcentral. Lineage: Eukaryota; Metazoa; Arthropoda; Insecta; Diptera; Tephritidae.